Molecule: transfer RNA, 69 nt
Filed under: Troglonectes sp. 2 TL-2023
Lineage: Eukaryota; Metazoa; Chordata; Actinopteri; Cypriniformes; Nemacheilidae
Description: tRNA-Glu
Rfam family: tRNA
About the family: Transfer RNA (tRNA) molecules are approximately 80 nucleotides in length. Their secondary structure includes four short double-helical elements and three loops (D, anti-codon, and T loops).
Source: RNAcentral
GUUCUUGUAGUUGAAUAACAACGGUGGUUCUUCAAAUCGUUGGUCUCGGUUAGAAUCCGGGCAGGAAUU